GGGGAAUUUUGGACAAUGGGCGCAAGCCUGAUCCAGCCAUGCCGCGUGCAGGAUGAAGGCCUUCGGGUUGUAAACUGCUUUUGUACGGAACGAAAAGGUUCUUUCUAAUAAAGAGGACUGAUGACGGUACCGUAAGAAUAAGCACCGGCUAACUACGUGCCAGCAGCCGCGGUAAUACGUAGGGUGCGAGCGUUAAUCGGAAUUACUGGGCGUAAAGCGUGCGCAGGCGGUGAUGUAAGACAGAUGUGAAAUCCCCGGGCUUAACCUGGGAACUGCAUUUGUGACUGCAUUGCUGGAGUGCGGCAGAGGGGGAUGGAAUUCCGCGUGUAGCAGUGAAAUGCGUAGAUAUGCGGAGGAACACCGAUGGCGAAGGCAAUCCCCUGGGCCUGCACUGACGCUCAUGCACGAAAGCGUGGGGAGCAAAC
RNAcentral lists this ribosomal RNA (425 nucleotides) under uncultured bacterium. RNAcentral describes it as "bacterial SSU rRNA". It matches the Rfam family "Bacterial small subunit ribosomal RNA", at positions 356 to 773 of the family's 1533-position model. The record is from RNAcentral.